Molecule: ribosomal RNA, 826 nt
Filed under: uncultured archaeon
Lineage: Archaea
Description: bacterial SSU rRNA
Rfam family: Archaeal small subunit ribosomal RNA
Source: RNAcentral
UGUAGCAAUACAAGGCAGACGGCUCAGUAACGCGUAGUCAACCUAACCUAUGGACGGGAAUAACCUCGGGAAACUGAGAAUAAUGCCCGAUAGAACACUAUGCCUGGAAUGGUUUGUGUUCCAAAUGAUUUAUCGCCAUAGGAUGGGACUGCGGCCUAUCAGUUUGUUGGUGAGGUAAUGGCCCACCAAGACUAUUACAGGUACGGGCUCUGAGAGGAGUAGCCCGGAGAUGGGUACUGAGACACGGACCCAGGCCCUAUGGGGCGCAGCAGGCGAGAAAACUUUGCAAUGUGCGAAAGCACGACAAGGUUAAUCCGAGUGGUUUGUGCUAAACAGACCUUUUGUUAGUCCUAGAAACACUAACGAAUAAGGGGUGGGCAAGUUCUGGUGUCAGCCGCCGCGGUAAAACCAGCACCUCAAGUGGUCAGGAUGAUUAUUGGGCCUAAAGCAUCCGUAGCCGGCUCAGUAAGUUUUCGGUUAAAUCUGUAUGCUCAACAUACAGGCUGCCGGGAAUACUGCAGAGCUAGGGAGUGGGAGAGGUAGACGGUACUCGGUAGGAAGGGGUAAAAUCCUUUGAUCUAUUGAUGACCACCUGUGGCGAAGGCGGUCUACCAGAACACGUCCGACGGUGAGGGAUGAAAGCUGGGGGAGCAAACCGGAUUAGAUACCCGGGUAGUCCCAGCUGUAAACUAUGCAAACUCAGUGAUGCAUUGGCUUGUGGCCAAUGCAGUGCUGCAGGGAAGCCGUUAAGUUUGCCGCCUGGGAAGUACGUACGCAAGUAUGAAACUUAAAGGAAUUGGCGGGGGAGCACCACAAGGGGUGAAGC